Molecule: ribosomal RNA, 407 nt
Filed under: uncultured bacterium
Lineage: Bacteria
Description: partial 16S ribosomal RNA
Rfam family: Bacterial small subunit ribosomal RNA
Source: RNAcentral
GACGAACGCUGGCGGCGUGCCUAAUACAUGCAAGUAGGACGCAGUUGCGAACGGGUGAGUAACGCGUAGGUAACUGCCUGUUAGAAGGGGGUAACUAUUGGAAACGAUACCUAAUACCGCAUACUAGUAGCUGGACCUGCGUUGUAUUAGUUAGUAGGUAGGGUAAUGGCCUAACUAGGCGACGAUACAUAGCCGACCUGAGAGGGUGAUCGGCCACAAUGGGACUGGUGACCGGCCCAGACCCCUACGGGAGGCAGCAGGAGGGAAACUUCGGCAAUGGGGGGAACCCUGACCGAGCAACGCCGCGGGAGUGAAGAAGGUUUUCGGAUCGGAAAGCUCUGUUGUUAAGGAAGCGGUACUUAACCAGAAAGGGACGGCUAACUACGUGCCAGCCGCCGCGGUAAUAC